This 345-nucleotide ribosomal RNA is filed under the name Triticum aestivum (bread wheat). RNAcentral describes it as "partial small subunit ribosomal RNA". The record is from RNAcentral. Lineage: Eukaryota; Viridiplantae; Streptophyta; Magnoliopsida; Poales; Poaceae.
GUCGCAUAUAUCUUGAGGAAAGAGCUUCCGGAGGAUGAGGAAGAGGCUCGACAGAUCGUCCGCCGAUCUAAAGCCUUUACCGUAAUCAAAGGACAAUUAUACAGAGAAAGCGCGACUGGAGUCGGUCAGAAGUGCAUAACACCAGAAGAAGGUCGACUCAUCCUCAAUGAUAUUCACUCGGGGACCUGUGGUCAUCAUGCGUCCUCUCGGACCAUCGUGGCCAAAGCAUACCGAGCCGGAUUUUACUGGCCCAAGGCGAAUGAGAUGGCAAAAGAGAUAGUGGAUAAGUGCGAGGGAUGUCAGUUCUACUCGAAUAUGUCGCACAAGCCUGCGUCAGCUUUGAAG